GGGAACUGUUGCUUAUAAGUUAACCGAUUUGCUUGAGCAACAAACAUUGGAUGUCACAACCUUGGAGCUAAAGGUCACUUGUCUUGAUCAGCGACUUCUGACAUGCAAAACAUACACUGAGAAAGAAGGCCUCAGGCAGCAACAGCUAUUAGCCAUCAUCCCAAGGCAUCACAAGCAUUAUAUUUUGCCAAAUUCUGCUGGAAAGAAGGUGCACUUCAGCCCUCAAGUUAAGAUGGAUUCAAGGCAACAUUUACAAGCAAGACCCCGCCUUUAUCCUUCAGGUACUCCUGCUGCGAAAACUCUCUCAUGGCAUCUGGCAACAGAAACCAAAUCGACAUUGAAAGGGAAUUCACGUACUUUUAUGAGUCCUGAGGAAGCAAAAGUUUCUGAAAAAGCAUCUGCCGCGUUCAACUUGUUAGAUGAAGAGAAUACCCGGAAGAAAUCAUAUGUAGCCCGUCCUCCGUCACCCAAUGUUGGUCCAGCAUCAAGU
This 490-nucleotide unclassified non-coding RNA is filed under the name Hevea brasiliensis (rubber tree). The record is from RNAcentral. Lineage: Eukaryota; Viridiplantae; Streptophyta; Magnoliopsida; Malpighiales; Euphorbiaceae.